AUUGCACGCUGGCGGCAGGCUUAACCCAUGCAAGUCGAACGAGUGGCGGACGGGUGAGUAAUGCUUGGGAAUCUAGCUUAUGGAGGGGGAUAACUACGGGAAACUGUAGCUAAUACCGCGUACCAUCAGAUGAACCCAUAUGGGAUUAGCUUGUAGGUGAGGUAACGGCUCACCUAGGCGACGAUCCCUAGCUGGUCUGAGAGGAUGGUCAGCCAAACUGGGACGGAGACACGGCCCAGACUCCUACGGGAGGCAGCAGUGGGGAAUAUUGCACAAUGGGCGCAAGCCUGAUGCAGCCAUGCCGCGUGUAUGAAGAAGGCCUUCGGGUUGUAAAGUUCUUUCGGUAGCGAGGCGUUAACUACAGAAGAAGCACCGGCUAACUCCGUGCCAGCAGCCGCGGUAAUAC
Molecule: ribosomal RNA, 406 nt
Filed under: uncultured bacterium
Lineage: Bacteria
Description: partial 16S ribosomal RNA
Rfam family: Bacterial small subunit ribosomal RNA
Source: RNAcentral